RNAcentral lists this ribosomal RNA (460 nucleotides) under uncultured bacterium. RNAcentral's name for it is "partial 16S ribosomal RNA". It matches the Rfam family "Bacterial small subunit ribosomal RNA", at positions 338 to 795 of the family's 1533-position model. The record is from RNAcentral.
CCUACGGGCGGCAGCAGUGAGGAAUAUUGGUCAAUGGACGAGAGUCUGAACCAGCCAAGUAGCGUGAAGGAUGACUGCCCUAUGGGUUGUAAACUUCUUUUAUAUGGGAAUAAAAUGUUCCACGUGUGGGAUUUUGUAUGUACCAUAUGAAUAAGGAUCGGCUAACUCCGUGCCAGCAGCCGCGGUAAUACGGAGGAUCCGAGCGUUAUCCGGAUUUAUUGGGUUUAAAGGGAGCGUAGGUGGAUUGUUAAGUCAGUUGUGAAAGUUUGCGGCUCAACCGUAAAAUUGCAGUUGAAACUGGCAGUCUUGAGUACAGUAGAGGUGGGCGGAAUUCGUGGUGUAGCGGUGAAAUGCUUAGAUAUCACGAAGAACUCCGAUGGCGAAGGCAGUUCACUGGACUGCAACUGACACUGAGGCUCGAAAGUGUGGGUAUCAAACAGGAUUAGAUACCCCUGUAGUC